This 662-nucleotide long non-coding RNA is filed under the name Rattus norvegicus (Norway rat). RNAcentral's name for it is "long non-coding RNA NONRATT027901". Lineage: Eukaryota; Metazoa; Chordata; Mammalia; Rodentia; Muridae. The record is from RNAcentral.
UGAAUCUCUCAGUACAGAUAGGCAAAUCGUGAUUACUUCCAUUAAAAUAGGUUUUUUGUUUUGUUUUGUUUUCCCUGUAGAUUUUAAAAGACCAUGGAGAGGCAUUUCUUGUUGGCAACCAACUCAGUUGGGCAGACAUACAGCUACUAGAAGCCAUUUUGAUGGUGGAAGAAGUCAGUGCUCCUGUGUUGUCUGACUUCCCUCUGCUGCAGGUAGGACGCUGGUCAGUGUGGACACAGCCCAGGGAGGUGCAGCUGGAACAAAGACUGCAACAAUACACACCUCGAAGCUGAACUUAAAACUUAGGAGAAACCGUUCCUUAGAGUAUCGUCAUCUUCACUCUGGUUGUGUGAUCUCGCUUACACUGUAGGGUCCGUCAGGGAAUGAAACUUUACAUGAUGGGGAAAUGGGGAUUUGAGGUUCCAAUAUGAACACUUAAACUGCUGGGGCAUGUAGCUCACAGGUAAAGCACAGGGCCAGCGUGCAAUGAGGUCUUGGUUCAGUCCCUAAUAAAUGCAAAACUCUCAGAACAUUCGGGACUUUUUUUUCAAUACUCUGAACAGUUUUACUUCCUGAAGCAAGAAUAUCGAUCUUUUGUUCUUCUUUCCUGCCUCCUAUAAGAUGGCGCUGUUCACUUUUAGUGGUCCUGAUGCUGGGCCAUC